AUUGAACGCUGGCGGCAUGCUUUACACAUGCAAGUCGAACGGUAACAGGGUGCUUGCACCGCUGACGAGUGGCGAACGGGUGAGUAAUGCGUCGGAACGUGCCGGGUAGUGGGGGAUAACGCAGCGAAAGUUGUGCUAAUACCGCAUACGUACUGAGGUAGAAAGUGGGGGACCUUCGGGCCUCACGCUAUUCGAGCGGCCGACGUCUGAUUAGCUAGUAGGUGAGGUAAAGGCUCACCUAGGCGACGAUCAGUAGCGGGUCUGAGAGGAUGCUCCGCCACACUGGGACUGAGACACGGCCCAGACUCCUACGGGAGGCAGCAGUGGGGAAUUUUGGACAAUGGGCGAAAGCCUGAUCCAGCCAUGCCGCGUGUCUGAAGAAGGCCUUCGGGUUGUAAACUGCUUUUGUACGGAGCGAAAAGGCUCUCUCUAAUACAGGGGGCUGAUGACGGUACCGUAAGAAUAAGCACCGGCUAACUACGUGCCAGCAGCCGCCGUAA
This 500-nucleotide ribosomal RNA is filed under the name uncultured bacterium. RNAcentral's name for it is "partial 16S ribosomal RNA". It matches the Rfam family "Bacterial small subunit ribosomal RNA", at positions 30 to 523 of the family's 1533-position model. The record is from RNAcentral.